RNAcentral lists this ribosomal RNA (460 nucleotides) under uncultured bacterium. RNAcentral describes it as "partial 16S ribosomal RNA". It matches the Rfam family "Bacterial small subunit ribosomal RNA", at positions 338 to 795 of the family's 1533-position model. The record is from RNAcentral.
CCUACGGGGUGCAGCAGUGAGGAAUAUUGGUCAAUGGCCGUAAGGCUGAACCAGCCAAGUAGCGUGAGGGAAGACUGCCCUAUGGGUUGUAAACCUCUUUUAUGCGGGGAUAAAGGUGUCCACGUGUGGAUGUUUGCAGGUACCGCAUGAAUAAGGACCGGCUAAUUCCGUGCCAGCAGCCGCGGUAAUACGGAAGGUCCGGGCGUUAUCCGGAAUGACUGGGCGUAAAGGGUGCGUAGGUGGUUUGAUAAGUUGGUAGCGUAACUCCGAGGCUCAACCUCGGCACUACUACCAAAACUGUCGGACUUGAGUGCAGGAGGGGCAACUGGAAUUCCUAGUGUAGCGGUGGAAUGCGUAGAUAUUAGGAGGAACACCAGUGGCGAAGGCGAGUUGCUGGACUGUAACUGACACUGAGGCACGAAAGCGUGGGGAGCAAACAGGAUUAGAUACCCGAGUAGUC